GUAUCAGUAUAAUUUCAGAGAUGGUAGUGACAAGAAAAUUGUUAGAUGUCGCGGAGGAACCUGGCAGUUUUACCUCCUUUGUCUGCUCAAAUGGUUUACCUAUUGUAUGGUGUGUUAUAUGUUAUCCCUCCUUGUCAUGGUAAAUGUUGAACUGGAAAAAUCUUUUAGUUUGCAUAUCUACUUAUUUAAAUGUGGCUGCAAGGUUAGGUUUGUAUGGCGUGUGGGGCAACGGGGUUCUCACUGGGCACCAUGUCAAUGAGGAAGAUGUGGAGAUGACCUGAGAAAGUGGGCCUUCUGUAUUUGAACGUGGAAGUGGAGGGAGAUGCAAAGAGAUGCCUCAGUCCUUGUCUUUAGUACCUCGGGGAUUAUGAUAACUGGUGUGUCUCUUGGGCCGUCCUAUUCUCUUUUAUCCGUGGGUUCUUUGAUGAUCAGUUUGUUCAGUUUUGGCCCUCAAGGGUAUGGCGCUUAUGAGUGCUUUUGCAUAUUGUGUUCCCAGGGUGUGAUAGGGUAUAUUUGUAUCUUGGCCCUGUUUACUGUUCUUGUCUUUCUUAAAUAAAACUUGUUAUUACUAUUAUCACAAUCAAUUACUCCCUCUGUUAUAUUGGAUGUAAUAACGUCUUGUCUUGUAUUAUCAGACGGAGGGAGUACUUUUUUUGAUGUUGCAACCAGUUACUUGUACAAACUAGGCCCUGUUUGGUUCAUAAGUCCUAAAACUUUUUUUAGUCCCAACUUAUAAGUCACAAGUCCCUACCUGUUUGGUUCCUGAGACUUAUAAGUCUCUAUAAGACCAUAUUACAACUAUAAGUCUCUAUAAGACUCUCCUUGAGAGUCUUAUUUCAUAAGUCCCAAAUGCCUACUUUAAGUCUCUAUAAGUCCCUCCUGUUUGGUUUAGAUGAAACUUAUAGGGAUUUUUUUAAGCCCCUAAGCCAAUAAGUCCCCGGAAACAUACACCCUCGUAGUAUAGCAUUAAAAUGGGUUGAUUGGGUCAUUUGAAGAAGGGAACCGCUAGGUUCCGCUAGUGAUUAGACUACUGAGGAUCUCAUCAGACCACUCCGUGGCCGUUAGAUAUGAGUGUGUGUGAAUGGUGGAUGAAGCACCGUUGCAUGAUUCCCACCUGUUAGGGAGUUUUCAAAACAGAAAAAAAAA
This 1146-nucleotide long non-coding RNA is filed under the name Triticum aestivum (bread wheat). Its description in RNAcentral is "long non-coding RNA (TAES_LNC024220)". The record is from RNAcentral. Lineage: Eukaryota; Viridiplantae; Streptophyta; Magnoliopsida; Poales; Poaceae.